Molecule: long non-coding RNA, 385 nt
Filed under: Nicotiana benthamiana
Lineage: Eukaryota; Viridiplantae; Streptophyta; Magnoliopsida; Solanales; Solanaceae
Description: long non-coding RNA (NBEN_LNC027754)
Source: RNAcentral
GUCUAGUAAAAGGAACAGAGACAAAACCAAGCAUUUUAACAAUCUUGGUCCAUGUCUGAAUGAAAAAAUAAGCAAGAAGAGCAGCUGAGACAUUGAGAUUAGGAUUAAUUCCAGUUGUGAGAUUCAUUUUCAUUUGUAUCACACUGUAAAUGCAUCCGAUGAUUAUCGUACUAGCAAUGACUCCUCGUAUCGUGAUCUGUUUAGUCCAUGGUUGAAUUCAAAAAUAUAAGCAAGAAGAGCAGCUGAGACAUUGAGAUUAGGAUUAAUUCCAGUUGUGAGAUUCAUUUUCAUUUGUAUCACACUGUAAAUGCAUCCGAUUAUCGUACUAGCAACGACUCCUCGUAUCGUGAUCUGUUCAGUCCAUGGUUGAAUUCUCAUCGUACUC